GACGAACGCUGGCGGCGUGCUUAACACAUGCAAGUCGAGCGGUAAGGCCCUUUCGGGGGUACACGAGCGGCGAACGGGUGAGUAACACGUGGGUGACCUGCCCUCAGCUCUGGGAUAAGCCUGGGAAACCGGGUCUAAUACCGGAUAUGACUCCAUGACGCAUGUUGUGGGGUGGAAAGCCUUGUGCGGCUGAGGAUGGGCCCGCGGCCUAUCAGCUUGUUGGUGGGGGAUGGCCUACCAAGGCGACGACGGGUAGCCGGCCUGAGAGGGCGACCGGCUACACUGGGACUGAGACACGGCCCAGACUCCUACGGGAGGCAGCAGUGGGGAAUCUUGCGCAAUGGGCGAAAGCCUGACGCAGCGACGCCGCGUGAGGGAUGACGGCCU
Molecule: ribosomal RNA, 387 nt
Filed under: uncultured bacterium
Lineage: Bacteria
Description: bacterial SSU rRNA
Rfam family: Bacterial small subunit ribosomal RNA
Source: RNAcentral